RNAcentral lists this ribosomal RNA (467 nucleotides) under uncultured ciliate. RNAcentral's name for it is "SSU rRNA". It matches the Rfam family "Eukaryotic small subunit ribosomal RNA". Lineage: Eukaryota; Ciliophora. The record is from RNAcentral.
AUUUGUCUGGUUAAUUCCGAUAACGAACGAGACCUUAACCUGCUAACUAGAUUCAUCAGUAUUACUCUUGAUAUCUUCUUAGAGGGACUAUGUAAAACAAAUACAUGGAAGUUUGAGGCAAUAACAGGUCAGUGAUGCCCUUAUAUGUCCUGGGCUGCACGCGUGCUACACUGAUGCAUACAACAAGUGCCUAACCAGACAUGGUAUGGCAAUCUCGAAUAUGCAUCGUGAUGGGGAUAGAUCUUUGCAAUUAUAGAUCUUGAACGAGGAAUUCCUAGUAAGUGCAAGUCAUCAUCUUGCAUUGAUUAUGUCCCUGCCCUUUGUACACACCGCCCGUCGCUCCUACCGAUACCGGGUGAUCCGGUGAACCUUUUGGACUCUUUACUGGGAAAGAUAAGUAAACCAUAUCACCUAGAGGAAGGAGAAGUCGUAACAAGGUUUCCGUAGGUGAACCUGCRGAAGGAUCA